Molecule: ribosomal RNA, 519 nt
Filed under: uncultured bacterium
Lineage: Bacteria
Description: partial 16S ribosomal RNA
Rfam family: Bacterial small subunit ribosomal RNA
Source: RNAcentral
UAAGGAAUAUUGGUCAAUGGACGCAAGUCUGAACCAGCCAUACCGCGUGAAGGAUUAAGGUCCUCUGGAUUGUAAACUUCUUUUAUCUGGGACGAAAAAAGGCGAUUCUUCGUCACUUGACGGUACCAGAUGAAUAAGCACCGGCUAACUCCGUGCCAGCAGCCGCGGUAAUACGGAGGGUGCAAGCGUUAUCCGGAUUCACUGGGUUUAAAGGGUGCGUAGGCGGGCAGGUAAGUCAGUGGUGAAAUCCUAGAGCUUAACUCUAGAACUGCCAUUGAUACUAUCUGUCUUGAAUAUUGUGGAGGUAAGCGGAAUAUGUCAUGUAGCGGUGAAAUGCUUAGAUGCGACAUAGAACACCUAUUGCGAAGGCAGCUUACUACGCAUAUAUUGACGCUGAGGCACGAAAGCGUGGGGAUCAAACAGGAUUAGAUACCCUGGUAGUCCACGCCCUAAACGAUGAUUACUCGACAUUUGUGAUACACUAUAAGUGUCUGAGCGAAAGCAUUAAGUAAUCCACCU